AUUGAACGCUGGCGGCAGGCCUUACACAUGCAAGUCGAACGGCAGCACGGGUGCUUGCACCUGGUGGCGAGUGGCGAACGGGUGAGUAAUAUAUCGGAACGUACCUUAUUGUGGGGGAUAACGCAGCGAAAGCUGUGCUAAUACCGCAUAAUCCCUUAGGGGGAAAGCGGGGGACCGUAAGGCCUCGCGCAAUUAGAGCGGCCGAUACCUGAUUAGCUAGUUGGUGAGGUAAAGGCUCACCAAGGCGACGAUCAGUAGCUGGUCUGAGAGGACGAUCAGCCACACUGGGACUGAGACACGGCCCAGACUCCUACGGGAGGCAGCAGUGGGGAAUUUUGGACAAUGGGGGCAACCCUGAUCCAGCAAUGCCGCGUGAGUGAAGAAGGCCUUCGGGUUGUAAAGCUCUUUUGUCAGGGAAGAAACAGCAGCUCUAACACAGUAUGCAAAUGACGGUACCUGAAGAAUAAGCACCGGCUAACUACGUGCCAGCCGCCGCAGUAA
Molecule: ribosomal RNA, 501 nt
Filed under: uncultured bacterium
Lineage: Bacteria
Description: partial 16S ribosomal RNA
Rfam family: Bacterial small subunit ribosomal RNA
Source: RNAcentral